CGGGCUGAUGCACGUUCUCGAUGCAGGUGAAGAGCGAUGCCCCGCGGCCGGGACAACGUGGUGCUGUGCUUGUUCCCAGCGGCGCGAGUUCCCCUGGGUCGCUGCAUGGACUGCGCCGCAGCGGGGUGAUGUGAGUGCAAAGGAAGACCCACGAGCAUCCAGAAUGGCAGACCUGUCUCAGGGGCCUCCCGCAGUGACGCCUAUGAACAGGGACUCGCCAGCUUCGAGUGAACAAUUCCCAGGAAACCCGGGAGAGCGUUUGGGGGAGGGCUGGGGGGACCCCGCGGGCCCCUGCCCGUUGGACAGCCCACACCCUGAGCCGCCGGUGGCCGGGCCGGCCCUCGGGGUGGAAGGCACUAAACCCGGGAGAGACACGAGUCGAAUCUCUGAACACACUGAAGCCUUUGUCAGACUUAAAAGCUGCCCCUUAGAGACGGGUUUCAGUUCAUGCCGAAACUUUCCAAAUGAUAGAUACUCUACCUCAUUGGGCCAAACACAAACGUCAGGAAUUACACAUUUUCCUUUCGUACACGGGGAAAUCAAAGUGAGACAUUUUAUUUGAAGUCUGCCUUUUCUCAGCACACGGUUUAUCUUCCCUUCCUCUGAAACACUGAACCGUCCUCACCUUCCCCUCUCUUAAAGUCAGAACGUUUGAGCCUCUCCCCCCGGGGUCCUGCCGAAUUAAACCGAACAACCCAGAAACGCUGUUUUCAGUCACCGACACUGUUCCUUCAGCGUUCUCCCUGCGCAGGAAACUUCUCUGCUCUCCUUUCAAUUUCUGAGGCGCACGUUUUAUCUCUGUACUUGUCCUGAAAUUUAAAUGGCAAUGGAACCAUCGCUUUGACCACAAAUUCAAUGCUAUCGAUGUUUCCUUUCCAGUUUUUCUUUCAUGUCUAAAGGUCACCAGGGGAGACUCUGUGCCAACCGAGCCGUCGCUCUGACUUCGGCUUUCCCGUGACCGGCUGUGAGGUUGGCCACCUGCGAGUUUGGGGGGCAGACCCCCCUGCUCUCAUUCACCUCGUGUCUGACACCAGUGGGGAGUCUGGGCGUCUUAGAAGGACCUCCCCGCACCCAGCUCUGUUCAAAGCUGUUUUCUGUCACAGAGAAAGGAUGCAGGUCAGGGUCACCCAGGGGAGGAGGCCCGUGGGACAGAGGGCGGGAGAGUGACUGGUGGGGCCUCCGGGCCCUCUCCCCGGGGGGUCAGGACAGGGCUGCCUUCUCUGCACAGAUGCGUGGUGACGCCCGCAGCCCACUGAGACCCCCGAGCUCUCAUGGGCAGACACUCUGUUGGUGUGGGCCCAGCCUCUGACCCCGGGCAGGUCAGGCGGGUACCGUGUGACCCAGCAUCCCUGCCACACCCUGCAACUUCUGCUGGCUGGCCCACGUCCCCGGCCAACAGAGACGCCCUGACCAGGCUUGACAUUUGGAGGGCUGGGAGGUGACCUCCCUGCAGCUGAGGACGAAGGUCAGACCUCUUUUUGGGCACUUAAAUUCUUUCCUGCGCACUCAUUUAUUCAAGCAAUAUUAGAGCACAGUGUGACUCAUUUUGUGCUGGGAAUACACGUACUUACAAUUCUUAUAAUAAUACUUCCUAAUUUCGAGAGACGUGCUCCAGUUCGGGGAGACCAGUGAGGAAGCAGAUGUAUAAACAAACCACAGGACCCACUAAACGCGCAGUGGAGGCAGGAAGGAGGGGAUCCCAGGCCAGCGAGCCCGGGCGGGACCCCAGCUGGGGAGGGCGCCUGGCAGGGGGGACCCCGAGCCCCCGUGAGCGACUGCGGCCUGCUGGGAGGGCCGCUGACUCUUCUCGGCCUCGGUGUCUUGUAACCUCUCAGAAGUUCCUCAUGUUUCGGUUUCCUUCCUGGGUCCCAUUUCCGAGCCACCGCCCACCCGGGGACCCUGCUUCCCUCCCAGCAGGGACACCUGAGUGUGGCCUGGCCCCCCUCGGCCUGCGGGGAAAGGGACUGCACUUACCGGAAGAGGACUCGUUUCAGUGAAGGGAAGAGGAAGACCCAGCGCAGGGCCCGGCGCUCACGGGGUGCGGCGCAGCCGGCGGGGGUCCCGGGCGCUGGUCUGCGUGUGCGGUGGGUGCCAGAGGGUCUCAGCGACCUCAGGGCACCCUGUGUGCGCGUGUCCUCAGGGGAGCGGGCGACCGACGUCCCUGUGUUUCAGGCCUCAGAAUGUCACCAGUGUCAGAGAAGAAAUUCAGCGCUAUGACAGCAAGCUUCUCCCGUGCAGAGGUGCCCCUCACUCGGCCUCCAGGCCCGGGUCAGAGCUGACCUGUGCGCGGUCGUGCCCCUGGUCAGAGAGCUGGUUUCCCCCUUCCCCUCCCUCCUUAAUUUUGUCAGAGCAGGUUCAAGUCCAACAGUCUCAGGCUGAGAAUGAUGGAAGCCCCCCGAGCAGACCCCCAGAGCCAGCGCACACCGGGAGCUGUGCCGAGACGUGAGAUGGCCCCGGCGUUCCUGCCGCUUUUUGUGUGAAACCGUCUUGCACCCCACAUAGCAGUGAGCUCACAGUUCGCAGCUUCCUCUGUCGGCCCGGUGUCGCUCAGCGUGAGUCUCGAGUCCGUCCCUGUUGUCGCGGGGGCCGUCUCCCAUCCUUCCUUGUGGCCGAGGAGCGUCCAUCGUAUACGCGCAGUGUCUUCUUCACCGAGUCCCGUGUCGAAGGGCACUUGGUGGUCUCCGCGUCUCGACCCCCGUGAACGAUGCUUCUACAUCGCGAGGUUUGUUGUGACCUCCAAAGACAGCUCGUCUUUCUUCAACAACAAGCGUGGGACGUUUACACAGUGGAAUACUACGCAGCCGUAAAAAGGAGGAAACCUUGCCCUUUGCGACAGCGUGGAUGCGCCUGGAGAGCAUUACGCCACGUGCAGCAAGCCAGUCAGAGGAAGACAACCACCGCGGGCUCUCGGUCACGUGUGCAGUCUGAUGGUGCGGGGCUGACACCCUGCCUCCUGCCUCCUGACGGCCCCCCUUCCCUCCAGAAUGCUGGGGGCCCACCCGGAGGCCGAGCGGCCAGCAGACACCAGCUGCCCUGGGGACGCACAGGCGGGGACCGACCCCGGGAAGACAGCCCAACACCCCCAGGAAGGUGGCAGGGCCGAGGAG
This is a long non-coding RNA of Artibeus jamaicensis (Jamaican fruit-eating bat), 3107 nucleotides long. RefSeq lists it as uncharacterized. The transcript is spliced from 5 exons. NCBI's taxonomy places the organism in Eukaryota, Metazoa, Chordata, Mammalia, Chiroptera, Phyllostomidae. The record is from RefSeq and is a predicted model, not a curated record.